CGGGCCUCUCAACACACCGUCCCUUACCUUCUGGUCUCCCCUGUCUGAGACCCCAUCCCAGUCACUCCCUCUGUCUCAGGUCAUUUUUCUGGCCUGCUCUUCACUCUCCUUGUCAGAGAAAUGCAGACACUUCCUGCGGGCUUUGGGAAGCUUCCACAGGAACUGAGCAAGUCCACCAGGGAUGAACGGGAGGGGCAAGGGCUCUAUCGGGGAGGGGUGGGAAAGGAAUAGCUCUUGGGCCUGGGGAAGGGAAACAGCUGAUAGGCCUGGGUCCCCAAAAUCUAGCAGGCUUAGCCAGUAAGGCAAGAGGAGCCCGGGCAGGGAAGGUAAAGAGUACAGGACCCUCUGUCCUGUGGCUCAAACCCACACAAAACAGGCCUCAGGCAGUGGGUGCAGGGGUGUGAGUCACCUGCUGUUUGCAUCUCAUUUGCAUGUUCCUGGCUCCCAGUUCAGUCUGGUUCCAAGAGGCCUGGGGGUGGGGAGGGGAUUGUGCACCAGAGCCUUGACUCUUACAUACCUCCUGACAGCCCAAGGCGUGUUCCUGUCGUCUCCUACCUUAGAGCCAGCCUCAACCCCAAAAGCCAGCUGGACACACCGUCCUCCAGACAUGCCCUGUACUGUCUUGUCUCCAACCUUUGUCAUGGUCCCCCCAGUCUUCCCCACUCCUCUCGAUUUUGCUCAUUAUUAGCCUUUUUUUUUUUUUUUUUUUUUUUUUGAGACGAAGUUCCACUCUUGUCACCCAAGCUGGAGUGCAUGGUGCGAUCUUGGCUCACUGCAACCUCCACCUCCCAGUUUCAAGCAAUUAUCUGUCUCAGCCUCCCGAAUAGCUGGGAUUACAGGCACCCACUACCACGCCCCGCUAAUUUUUUUUGUAUUUUUAGUAGAAACAGGGUUUCACCAUCUUGGCCAGGCUAGUCUUGAACUCCUGACAUUGUGAUCCACUUGCCUCGGCCUCCCAAAGUGCUGGGAUUACAGGCGUGAGCCACCACGCCCAGCCUAGCCAUCUUUUAAAGCCGGAUACCAAGUCCUCCACUUCCAUGAAGCUUUCCCUGGUAAACAAACUCCAAGUAAUCAUAAUCCUACAGCUCUCAAUGCUGAAAGGCACCCGAAGAAACCAGGUCUGUCUUACCCAUCUUCAGGAGAUAAGGCUUCACCAUCCUCAUUUUAUAGAUGAGGCAACCAAGGCCCAGGAUCAGUUAAUGUAGGUUUCCCAGAGCAGAAUAGCCAGCAAGUAGGGAGGACAUGAGAGCCCAGGGCACACCCCUCAACACCCCCAGCUCCCACCGCCCUUUGCCAUUCAUUUAGCAGGGAGCAAUGCCCUAUUCUGGACCACUCUCGCAUGGCUAGUGAGCUGACCAUUGGGCAUCGUUGCUCCCCUUCUGGAUUGGGAUUUCAGUCUCCCAUGAGCUCCCUAGGCUUCAGCCAUACAGAACCACUGCCAGUUCCCUAAAUUCUCCUUGCCCUUUCUUAGCAACAUGUCUUUGCCUGUGGUGAUCCCUCUGACAGGACUGCCUUUAUCUCUAUGAACUCCUGAACCUGGCAAACUCCAGCUCAUCCCUCAAAACCCAUCUCAACUAUUACCUCCUCUGUGAAAUCUUUUCUGAUGUUCUUCUUCAGAUCCCAGCAAUGUAUUCAAACAUCUGAGGCAGCACUUGUCACACUGCUCCUGGUAGCCCAGCCUCCCUCUCUAGCCACAAGACCUUCAAGGGCAGGGACCACCAUGUGCUGUGCAGCUCUCUCCCCAGGAUACACACAAAUACAGGCACACAUUUAAUUGAACCAGAUUUUAUUACCACCUCCCUUCCCAUCCCAGGCCCACAGAACAGAAGCAUCAGCCUAGUGGGGAGGUGAGAAAGAAAGACUGAGAAGAAAAUGCCUGAGGUGAUGAUCGGGGAUACAGCACGUGCAUUACUUAGUACUCUUGAUCAUCUCUUUCACCUAACUUAAUGCUUAGUAAAGGAAGGAGGGAGGGAGGGAGGGAAGGAAGGAAGGAAGGAAGGAAGGAAGGAAGGAAGGAAGGAAGGAGGGAAGGAAGGAAGGAAGGAAGGGAGUAAAGAAACAGAGGAAAUAGGCCGGGAAAUAGAACUGAAGGGGAAGGGAAAAAAGAAGGAAGGGAGAAUCAUAAAAAAGGAAGAAAAGAGGUGGAUGCGGGGUAGAAAGAAGAGCCAGAGAAAGGUCUUGUGGGAAGAGGGAGGGGAGGAAACAGGAGGAGGCCAGGGGAGGAGGAGGCCAAACUUUUGACUCUGGAGCACAUCCAGCAGAGAUCCUGGCCUUGCGGCUUAGUAUCAUUCCCACCACCAUGUUCCGAUCCGGGAAAUGGACACAUCUCCUCUUCUCCAGGAGCACAGGAGUCUGGGCAGGGAGCACCUGCUGUGCUGUGCCACGUCCCCCCGCCCCUGCACUAGGCCCUUUCACAUCCGUGGUCUCCCGAAGCUCUCCACAGCCCUGGGAAGUAGGAGUUCUUAUUCCACCCUCCCCUUCUGAUGCAGGGACUGAGACAGAGUGGUCCGCCAUGGGGCUCCAUCAGGUAGGGUCUGACUCCAAAGGCCUGCUCUUCCCUCGACCCCAGGGUCCCCUUAGCAUUGAAGACAGACAGGAAAAAGAGGCAGAUGACAUUUCAUGUCCCACUUGGAAAGUCAAGGUGUAGAAAAUGGAGGGGACCAGACUCCUUCAUAUCCUGCGCAGCGUCAUCUCCUGCCGCAAGAAUCACCCCACGCGCAUGACUCAGUCUUUGCCCAGUAGGUUGAUGAUAACCUAAGAAUCUGAAGACCUCACAGGGACUCUGAAAGCCCAUUGAAGUAGAUGCGGAAAACUCUUCCAUCAUGUCAUCCUUUCCUCUGCCUUGGGUCACCAGCCAAGGGAGGGAGUGGCUCAGGUGUUUUCCUUUGAAAGCCCCCAUGCAGAUCUUCUCCCCAUCCCAGAAGCCCAAGGAGUCAGCAAUAUCUGUGGUUCCCUGAGGUUCAGAGAGACACAGUAGCAAAUGACUGUACCCAGGCCCCACUACCCACCUCCAGGGAUGUAUAGCUGUGGGGUGUGGAGCGCAGAGGACUUUUCCCAGAGCCUCACCCCAGAUGAACAGCCAACUUCCCUUUGUUCAGCCUCCCCCAGAUACCCAAACCCAGCAGCCCAUGGCCUUCUCUGUCAGGAAGUCCUUCCUGAUGUCUAACUUACAUCUUUCCUGCUGCUGUCUAUCCAGCCCUUAGCAGUGACAGGAGACCAGUCUGAGCUCUAAAGGUCAGGGAAUGGGGACGAAAACAAGUACUUCCCUUCAAGCCUUGGGUAGGGGAGUAGUAAUGCAAAGAAACAAGAGUGGCUCACUCAGCCUUAUUUCUCCCUGCCUGUAGCAGUAGAAAUGGAGGGUAGACAACUGGAAGGACUUCCUAGCCAAGAGAAGGGAGGUACUUCUGGAAUAGGAUUAUAAAGCACAAAGGCUGCGCGCUUCCUGGUGGCCUCCCAGCCUGGCAGAGACCCUUCAGUGGUAGCUUCAGAAGGAUAACCUGCACUUCCAGAAAAGCUCAGGGUGCCGGGAUUGCUGAGAACCCUUGCAGCUCCAGCAAAAGUAAAAACCUGGUCCUGGAGCCCCCUUGUGGCCACGCAGAGGCAGGACAGGCAGUUCCGCCUCCCACCACCACACCCGUGGUUAGAGCUGGGGCCCAGGGUUGCUGAUGCAGAGGACAGGGAAACCAGGGCCCCACCUUCUGUGAGAGGCCAAAUCGGCAGCCCUAGCCCUGAGGGCACCUGGUCAGGAAGGAGCAGGGCCCAGAAGGAGCCCUGGAAGAGGAGACAGGCUAACCCCAUUCAGUUCCUAAUCUGCCACUCUCCAGCUAGUGACCCUGGGCACACCUCCCCGCAGAGCCUCAGUGACCUCAAUCAUUAAAAGGAAGAAAAGGCCGGCACGGUAGCUCACACCUGUAAUCUCAGCACUUUGGGAGGCCGAGGCGGGCGGAUCACGAGGUCAGGAGAUCGAGACCAUCCUGGCUAACACAGUGAAACUCCGUCUCUACUAAAAAUACAAAAAUUAGCUGGGCUUGGUGGCACGUGCCUGUCCCAGCUACUCAGAAGCUGAGGCAGGAGAAUUGCUUGAACCAGGGAGGCAGAGGGAGGUUGCAGUGAGCCAAGAUCGCGCCACUGCACUCCAGCCUGGGAAACAGAGAGAGACUCCGUCUCAAAAAAAGGAAGUAAAACUCCCCCUGGCCCACCAUUUUACCUUAAAGAAGUGUGGAAAGAACCAAACGUAAUGAUAAUGUUCUGUACGCGAACUUGAAUCGUUUUUAAAACUCCUCUUCAGGCCAGGCGCCACGGCUCACACCUGUGAUCCCAGCACUUUAGAAGGCCAAGACGGGCAGAUCACUUGAAGUCAGGAGUUUGAGACCAGCCUGGCCAACAUGGUGAAACCUCGUCUCUACUAAAAAUACAAAAAUUAGCCAUGUAUACUGGUGCACACCUGUAAUCCCAGCUACUUGGGAGGUUGAGGCAGGAGAAUUGACUGAACCCAGGAGGAAGAGGUUGCAGUGAGCCAAGACCACGCCACUACACUCCAGCCUGGGCAAUAGAGCGAGACUCUGUCUCAAAAAAAAAAUAAAAGCAAAAAACCCUUCUUCAAAUAUAUGGGAAGAGUUGGGCACAGUGGCUCAUACCUAUAAUCUCAGCAUUUUGGGAGACUGAAGCUGGAAGAUCACUUGAGGCCAGGAGUUCAAUAAAGGCUAGGCACAGUGGCUAACUCCUGUAAUCCCAACACUUUGAGUGGCCAGGGUGGGAGGAUUGCUUGAGCCCAAGAGUUCAAGACCAGCUUGGGCAACAACGUGAGACCUCAUCUCUACAAAAAAAAAAAAAAAAAAAAAAAAA
Molecule: long non-coding RNA, 4845 nt
Filed under: Macaca mulatta (Rhesus monkey)
Lineage: Eukaryota; Metazoa; Chordata; Mammalia; Primates; Cercopithecidae
Description: lncRNA (ENSMMUG00000050872.1)
Source: RNAcentral